This 85-nucleotide transfer RNA is filed under the name Deltaproteobacteria bacterium RIFCSPLOWO2_02_FULL_44_10. RNAcentral's name for it is "tRNA-Leu". It matches the Rfam family "tRNA". Rfam says of the family: Transfer RNA (tRNA) molecules are approximately 80 nucleotides in length. The record is from RNAcentral. Lineage: Bacteria; Deltaproteobacteria.
GCCCGGGUGGCGGAACCCGGUAUACGCAGAGGACUUAAAAUCCUCGGUCCGAAAGGACUUGUGAGUUCAAAUCUCACCCCGGGCA